GGAGGGAUACUCAAGCUGGUGAAGAGGACGGUUUGCUAAACCGUUAGUAGGUGCAAAACACCUAGCGUGGGUUCGAAUCCCACUCCCUCCGCCA
Molecule: transfer RNA, 94 nt
Filed under: Bacillota bacterium
Lineage: Bacteria; Bacillati; Bacillota
Also listed under: 1 other name
Description: tRNA-Ser
Rfam family: tRNA
About the family: Transfer RNA (tRNA) molecules are approximately 80 nucleotides in length. Their secondary structure includes four short double-helical elements and three loops (D, anti-codon, and T loops). Further hydrogen bonds mediate the characteristic L-shaped molecular structure. tRNAs have two regions of fundamental functional importance: the anti-codon, which is responsible for specific mRNA codon recognition, and the 3' end, to which the tRNAs corresponding amino acid is attached (by aminoacyl-tRNA synthetases). tRNAs cope with the degeneracy of the genetic code in two manners: having more than one tRNA (with a specific anti-codon) for a particular amino acid; and 'wobble' base-pairing, i.e. permitting non-standard base-pairing at the 3rd anti-codon position.
Source: RNAcentral